RNAcentral lists this unclassified non-coding RNA (349 nucleotides) under Leucoagaricus rubrotinctus. RNAcentral describes it as "partial internal transcribed spacer region". The stretch from base 1 to 46 matches the Rfam family "Eukaryotic small subunit ribosomal RNA", at positions 1786 to 1831 of the family's 1831-position model. The record is from RNAcentral. Lineage: Eukaryota; Fungi; Basidiomycota; Agaricomycetes; Agaricales; Agaricaceae.
AAGUCGUAACAAGGUUUCCGUAGGUGAACCUGCGGAAGGAUCAUUAUUGAAUACAGCUCGAUGGGUUGUAGCUGGCUCCUUGGAGCAUGUGCACACUUGUCUUGAUACUAUUCAUCCACCUGUGCAUCAUUGGUAGUCUCUGAGGGCUGGGAUUGGCAGUUGACCCAUCAGUCAAAAGACUGGACAAGAGGAUUGCGAGCAUGAAAGUGCAGCUCUCUUCAGCAACAGACCGUGAUCUCCCUUUGAUUCUAUGUUUCAUAAACCAUGUUGUAUGUUGAAGAAUGUGAUUAUUAGGCCUUUGUGUCUAUAGAACCUUAUACAACUUUCAGCAACGGAUCUCUUGGCUCUC